ACUAUGCCUAGUAGUAAACUUUAACUUACCCUUACAUCGCCCGGGAACUACGAGCCAAGCUUAAAACCCAAAGGACUUGACGGUACCCCAUAUCCCCCUAGAGGAGCCUGUCCUAUAAUCGAUAAUCCCCGUUUAACCUCACCAUUUUUUGCUAAUCAGCCUGUAUACCUCCGUCGUCAGCUUACCACGUGAGCGUCAGUGAGCCUAAUGUUUUUCCAACUAUACGUCAGGUCAAGGUGCAACAUAUAAAAUGGAAAGAGAUGGGCUACACUUUCUAUCAUAGAAUAAACGAAAGACUAAAUGAAACCUGGUCAGAAGGCGGAUUUAGUAGUAAAAUGAAACUAGAGCGUUCACUUAAAUACGGCACUGGGGUGUGUACACACCGCCCGUCACCCUCCUCAACUCUGCAUAAAAGUUUUUAACGCCUUUUCNGAGACUCAGA
Molecule: ribosomal RNA, 442 nt
Filed under: Ameerega hahneli
Lineage: Eukaryota; Metazoa; Chordata; Amphibia; Anura; Dendrobatidae
Description: partial 12S ribosomal RNA
Rfam family: Bacterial small subunit ribosomal RNA
Source: RNAcentral